RNAcentral lists this ribosomal RNA (301 nucleotides) under uncultured bacterium. Its description in RNAcentral is "partial 16S ribosomal RNA". It matches the Rfam family "Bacterial small subunit ribosomal RNA", at positions 509 to 807 of the family's 1533-position model. The record is from RNAcentral.
CAGUCGCCGCGGGAAUACGAAGGGGGCUAGCGUUGUUCGGAUUUACUGGGCGUAAAGCGCACGUAGGCGGAUCCUUAAGUCAGAGGUGAAAUCCCAAGGCUCAACCUUGGAACUGCCUUUGAUACUGGGGAUCUCGAGUUCGGGAGAGGUGAGUGGAACUGCGAGUGUAGAGGUGAAAUUCGUAGAUAUUCGCAAGAACACCAGUGGCGAAGGCGGCUCACUGGCCCGAUACUGACGCUGAGGUGCGAAAGCGUGGGGAGCAAACAGGAUUAGAUACCCGUGUAGUCCCUGUCUCUUAUAC